Molecule: ribosomal RNA, 465 nt
Filed under: uncultured bacterium
Lineage: Bacteria
Description: partial 16S ribosomal RNA
Rfam family: Bacterial small subunit ribosomal RNA
Source: RNAcentral
GACGAACGCUGGCGGCGUGCUUAACACAUGCAAGUCGUACGGUAAGGCCCUUUCUGGGGUACACGAGUGGCGAACGGGUGUGUAACACAUGAGUAACUCGCCCACAACUUUGGGAUAACCCUAGGAAACUGGUGCCUAUUCUGGCUAUGUUCCUCUGCUGCAUGGUGGGGGUUGGACAGCUCUGGCGCUUGUGGAUGGACUUGCGGCCUAUUAGCUUGUUGGUGGGGUAGUGGCCUACCAAGGCGGCGAGGGGUAGCCGGCCUGAGAGGGUGAGCGGCCAUACUGAGGCUGAGGGACGGCCCAAGCUGCUAAGGGAGGCAGAAGUGGGAAAUAUUGAACAAGGGGCGCAGGGCUGGUGCAGCAGCGCCGCGGACGGGAUAACAGCCUUCGGUGUGUAAACCGCUUUCAGCAGGAACGAAGCUUUUUGUGACGGUACCUGCAGAAGAAGCACCGGCUAACUACGUG